Molecule: long non-coding RNA, 940 nt
Organism: Ipomoea nil (Japanese morning glory)
Lineage: Eukaryota; Viridiplantae; Streptophyta; Magnoliopsida; Solanales; Convolvulaceae
Exons: 4
Source: RefSeq, a predicted model, not a curated record
GAUUCCAAAUAUUAACCGCCUUGUUUGCUUGAAAAACCUUAUGAGGUUGACGUUUACGUCAUUGAAAUUUGAGUUGAAGGCAAUUAAUAUUUUUAGCAAGUUGCCUAAACUUGAGGUGCUAAGGUUAAGCAAUUGUGUGUGCAUUGGUAAAGAGUGGGAACUAUUGGAGAUGGAGAAUUUUGACCAGCUAAUUUAUUUAGAAAUUUGGUUCUCUCAUUGCCUAGAGCAAUGGGAAGCAAGUGCUUGUCAUUUUCCAAAUCUUGAGCGCCUAGUCCUUAAAAGCUGUACGAAACUGGAAAAGAUUCCAGUUGAGUUUGCAGAAAUUCCAAAUUUGAAGUCAAUUGAAUUGGAUUACUGUCUUCCUUCUGCGGUGGAUUCUGCCAAGAAAAUUCAAAAAGAGCAACAUGAGCAAGGAAAUGAAAAUAUGGUUGUCAUUGAGGAACACACACUACAGUGAUUCAUGGCAGCCUAGCUCUCGCAAUGAUAAACAUAUUAGAGUUGAUCCAUAUUUCAAAAAGAUCAGAGAAUUAGAUAUGUUCCUCAUGGAAAUGAUGUGAAGAGGAGUUAAUCACAAGCUAAGGUAUAACAAUGUACAUGAAAGCAAGGUGACAUACAGCUCCCACAGUACACUCUUAGCUCCAAUUCAAUGGCUCCGAUAUCUUGGACACCGCCACCCUAGCUUGUAAAAUCCAACGCUUUUCAUCGUUAAUGAUUCGGCUGGUUUCGACCAGGUAGUAAGUUCUCCUUCAUAAAUCUGGGCACUUUAAUUUGUUGUAGCUUGUUAUGGGAAGUUUGCUUAGAACUGUGAUCCGGGUUUAGCCAAAACUAUAUAUUGCUUGUUGCGAGGCUUUAUCAUGGCUUAAAUGGAGAUGUAUUAAUAACGUCAUCCUAGAGUUGAGACAGACAAUUUUAAAUUUUGUUAAUGUUUCUCAUGAUUAUU